Centrocercus urophasianus (Greater sage-grouse) is the source of this 951-nucleotide long non-coding RNA. RefSeq lists it as uncharacterized. Lineage: Eukaryota; Metazoa; Chordata; Aves; Galliformes; Phasianidae. The record is from RefSeq and is a predicted model, not a curated record. The transcript has 2 exons.
CGUACCAUUCUUCAGAACCUGAUACUAAAUAACUCCUAAAUUUAUGACCUUCACCCGUCAGCUACCAGCAUGUCUGUAAUAGGAGCCUUUCUCUCCCUCAGGUAAAAACAGUGAUAGAACAAAAUCCCUGUUUUCUGAGAAGUGUUCAAAUUUGAGAUGGAUUACUAAAUUAUUCACAAGCCUAUGUUAAAUUUCAUGGUCACUUUCACUUUUAUUGUGUUCAGGAAAUAAAUAAGUAAAUAAAAUAACAUUGAUCCAGUCUUAUGCUAAGUAACUGACAUCUACAUAGACAGCUAAUUUCUUCCUGACCCCUGCUUAUUCAGUUUCUAAAGAGUUCCCAUAGAUAAAUUUUUAGGUAAGUGGAUCAUUGUUUUUGUCUCCCUCCUUGCCGUAUACCUAUAAACUAUACCUUCACAUGGCAAAGGCAGUCACAAUGGGUUGGAAAGAGUUAAAACCUCAUCUUCCACUCCUCCCUCUUUAUCGUUUUAAUUGGCUGUUCUGAUGACCUGACCACCUCUUUGAUACGCAUCAAAUGCCGACCCGUGAAAUAUGGAGUAUGUCAGCCUGCUGAACAAGGGUCAACCUGAUUGUCAAUAAGGCCAUCCAUCAGAGCUUCUGGCAUGGUGGAUCCAAUCCAGACCCAAAGUCCCAGCUGGAAAAGAAGUAGCCUCCUGGUGAUAACAACGUGUGCAAUGUUGGCCCGACAACUGGCACCGGGGUCACUGGCCCAGAGGCCAGAAGGCGGCAAACUUCAAACUGGAAAAAGGGUCCUCACCCUUUUCUUCAGGUUACCUACGGAUCUAGAUGGCUCAAUGUGGCGUAUGGCACAUGGUCUUUAUGUUCCAUGGAAAAAUGGAUUUAAAUGACAAGCCCUUCCAGAUCUGGGAAAGCCACCGUGGAAUCCUGCUUUUGUUCAUAUUAAAAUGGGACCUAUUGAGAUAACAAUACAAA